This 406-nucleotide ribosomal RNA is filed under the name uncultured bacterium. RNAcentral describes it as "partial 16S ribosomal RNA". It matches the Rfam family "Bacterial small subunit ribosomal RNA", at positions 29 to 526 of the family's 1533-position model. The record is from RNAcentral.
AUUGAACGCUGGCGGCAGGCCUAACACAUGCAAGUCGAACGAGUGGCGGACGGGUGAGUAAUGUCUGGGAAACUGCCCGAUGGAGGGGGAUAACUACUGGAAACGGUAGCUAAUACCGCAUACCAUCGGAUGUGCCCAGAUGGGAUUAGCUAGUAGGUGGGGUAACGGCUCACAUGGGCGACGAUCCCUAGCUGGUCUGAGAGGAUGACCAGCCACACGGGAACGGAGAAACGGCCCAGACUCCUACGGGAGGCAGAAGUGGGGAAUAUUGCACAAGGGGCGCAAGCCUGAUGCAGCCAUGCCGCGGGUAGGAAGAAGGCUUUCGGUUUGGAAAGUACUUUCAGCGAGGAGGCGUUACUCGCAGAAGAAGCACCGGCUAACUCCGUGCCAGCAGCCGCGGUAAUAC